UGGUGUUUGGCAAAUGUGGAGGGGGAGACCUGAGCUGCUUGCGAGCAGCUGUUCGCAUAGUGCUUGAAUAGUGCUAGAGGAUAGGUCUGUCGUUGAAUCUUGAAAGCUCGUAGAUGUGGAGUUUUUUUUUUUUUUUCCUCCAGUCUUAGGUAAACCUUAGGAGGAACCGGUCGAAGGAGAGAGCGCCUUCUGGAACUGUCAAGCACUUGUUCGGCAGCUCAGUGACUGGCUUGGUCUACUUCUGAGGUGCCGAGCUGAAACGCAGCGUACAACCUGGGACGUCACACCCAGAGCUGCCUCUGGCAAGAGGUGUUGUAGCUGGCUUAAGAGGGUAGAUGGAAGCAUCUGCCUCGGGGUAGGUAAGCGGGUAGAGGUAAGGCAGCAGAUGAGAGUAACUGUCCUAGCUGUGCUGUGGCUUUGGAUGCUGCCUUGGCCUAUGCUUUUCUUCCUCUUUCACAGGUGUCUCGCACAGGCUCAAAGGAGCAAACUGCAUUCUGAAGAGCUGCGUAAGUAGGGGGGCUGGUCAUGAACUGGGUUGGAGCGGAAUGGCGAAGUAGCGUGAGGUGACGAUGAAAGGUCUCCGUCUUGCUUUGCAGGUGCCAUGGCAGGCUCUCCACAGAAGUGGCUGAGGAUUUGAGAUGAGGCCAGAGAGUGACAAGGAGCAGCACGUGCAGGGAUGGUUUCCAAGCGCUGCGAUUGUUUUCUCUUCUGUUUAUCAGGUGCCACAGGCAAGGUGGGCUGUAACAUCAGUCUUUAGAAUUGGAGCAAAGCGGGUCACUUGAAUGCCGCACGGCAUCUGAGAAGGGUGUUUUAACAGGAAAAGUUUGUCUGGCGUGGCGGUGUCUGAUGGCAGUGUGUUUCCACAGGUGAAGAGGUGCCUGAAGCCCCAUCCUGGCUGGCCAGCGCACACCUCGCUGAGAACGAAAGCUGCUUUCCAGUAAUUCAGAAAGCUAAGUUACGUCUCGGCCUCGAGCAUCUGGGGCGUGUGCCUGUGCUUUUGGACCUGUCUGUAGCAUUUGGCACCUGCAUUAAUACUUUCUUGGCAUAUGUGCAGGCUUUUGGGGCCUGUGUCUUGGGGGGAGGGUUGGGGCCAGUGUCUAGGGGGGGUGUGGAGCUGCUUGUACAC
Molecule: long non-coding RNA, 1126 nt
Filed under: Anser cygnoides (Swan goose)
Lineage: Eukaryota; Metazoa; Chordata; Aves; Anseriformes; Anatidae
Description: lncRNA (ENSACDG00005011209.1)
Source: RNAcentral